RNAcentral lists this ribosomal RNA (489 nucleotides) under uncultured Pseudomonadota bacterium. Its description in RNAcentral is "bacterial SSU rRNA". It matches the Rfam family "Bacterial small subunit ribosomal RNA", at positions 224 to 704 of the family's 1533-position model. Lineage: Bacteria; Pseudomonadati; Pseudomonadota. The record is from RNAcentral.
GAACGGCCCGCGUCGGAUUAGCUAGUUGGUGAGGUAAUGGCUCACCAAGGCGACGAUCCGUAGCUGGUCUGAGAGGAUGAUCAGCCACACUGGCACUGAGACACGGGCCAGACUCCUACGGGAGGCAGCAGUGGGGAAUUUUGCGCAAUGGGCGAAAGCCUGACGCAGUAACGCCGCGUGGAGGAUGAAGGCCUUCGGGUUGUAAACUCCUGUCAGGAGGAACGACGGAGAAAGGGUGAUAAACCCUUUCCUCCAGACGGUACCUCCAAAGGAAGCCCCGGCUAAUUCCGUGCCAGCAGCCGCGGUAAUACGGAAGGGGCGAGCGUUGUUCGGAAUCAUUGGGCGUAAAGGGCGCGUAGGUGGCUCUGUAUGUCUACCGUGAAAGCGUACGGCUCAACCGUAUUUUGUCGGUAGAAACUGCAGGACUUGAGGCUGGGAGGGGCUGGUGGAAUUCCCUGUGUAGCGGUGAAAUGCGUAGAGAUGGGGGAG